Leersia perrieri is the source of this 125-nucleotide small nuclear RNA. It matches the Rfam family "U11 spliceosomal RNA". The record is from Rfam. Lineage: Eukaryota; Viridiplantae; Streptophyta; Magnoliopsida; Poales; Poaceae.
AAAAAGGGUCGGUUGGCUAUGUAUGCCACAUCCAUCCAUCCAUGGGUGCUGUAUGGCUAUCAAGACAUAUGGCCGGCAUAAUUUGUGGAAAUUGAUAGGGUUGGCUCGCUACGGCCGACCCUCCA